This 87-nucleotide transfer RNA is filed under the name Cordylochernes scorpioides. RNAcentral's name for it is "tRNA-Tyr". It matches the Rfam family "tRNA". Rfam says of the family: Transfer RNA (tRNA) molecules are approximately 80 nucleotides in length. Their secondary structure includes four short double-helical elements and three loops (D, anti-codon, and T loops). Lineage: Eukaryota; Metazoa; Arthropoda; Arachnida; Pseudoscorpiones; Chernetidae. The record is from RNAcentral.
CCCUCGAUAGCUCAGUUGGCAGUGCGGAGGACUGUAGAUGUUACAACGGUGAUCCUUAGGUCGCUGGUUUAAAUCCAGCUCGAGGGA